This is a non-coding RNA of Anas platyrhynchos (mallard), 888 nucleotides long. The record is from RefSeq and is a predicted model, not a curated record. NCBI's taxonomy places the organism in Eukaryota, Metazoa, Chordata, Aves, Anseriformes, Anatidae.
AUCAGAUUUACUUUUUAAGCUCAUAAGGAGGUUUCUGUCUUGCACUGAGAAUUUAUGAGUUCCUGUUGUUUAAGUCACAGGUCAGGAAGUGACCUGGGAUGCACUUCUCUACUCUGGAAAUUAGUCUUUCAGAGAAACAGAGAUAAAGUGGUAUAAGAAAUGCACAGCGCUAUUUUUCCCCAAAAGUUGUAUGCUUUUCAUUGGGGCAUAGUAAGGACAAAUCAAUGAGACAAGUGUGCACAGUGAAUCAUAAGGGGUUUCAAACUGCCUAAAGAUAUAUUAACUCAGAAUCUCUGUCAGGACCAAUUCAUACGAAGUCUACUUCUGGAAAGUAACUUGGGCUGUUAUUUACAAAAAAUAUCCAAUCUUGGAAAUACUGCCCUGUGAGAAACUUUACAGACCUUGUACUGCAUGCAGUGUUUUUGUCUCACUGAAGUCAUCUCACGAGCCUGUGUUUCCUCAUCUAUUACAUAUCAAUGAGGAGAAUAAUUUAGUGCAAAUCCUGAAGAGCGAUGGUACCUGAAAAAGGAAUGAGAUUAAUGAUCAAUAGCUUGACCACCAGCCAAGAAAAAUAAGAGGUGGCCAGAGGCUGGGUAGUGACAACCAAAGACUGUGUCAGUAAGGUAAACUGUGCCCAGUGUCAUGGUGACGGUAUCAUUCAGAACAACCCUCACCAACAGCAUAUAUAAACUUAAAAAUAUAAAGACAGCAUGCAGAUGCUGUAGCUGUGAGGGGCUGAGUAAUGGUGAUGAGCUGCCUCAUAAGGACACUGAAGGGGAAAAUAUUUAUUUUCUCCCCUUCCUUUAUUCCUUUUAUUUCUGUGUUGCCUCAGUCUGCUUUUUUCAGCUUUUUCUGUUUGAAUAAAUCCUGGAUCACAUAUUUAAAAGA